This 253-nucleotide ribosomal RNA is filed under the name uncultured bacterium. Its description in RNAcentral is "partial 16S ribosomal RNA". It matches the Rfam family "Bacterial small subunit ribosomal RNA", at positions 524 to 776 of the family's 1533-position model. The record is from RNAcentral.
UACGUAGGGUGCAAGCGUUGUCCGGAAUUAUUGGGCGUAAAGAGCUCGUAGGCGGUUUGUCGCGUCGAAUGUGAAAACCCGGGGCUCAACCCCGGGCCUGCAUUCGAUACGGGCAGACUAGAGUUCGGUAGGGGAGUCUGGAAUUCCUGGUGUAGCGGUGAAAUGCGCAGAUAUCAGGAGGAACACCGGCGGCGAAGGCGGGACUCUGGGCCGAUACUGACGCUGAGGAGCGAAAGCGUGGGGAGCGAACAGG